Sapajus apella (tufted capuchin) is the source of this 2205-nucleotide long non-coding RNA. RefSeq lists it as uncharacterized. The transcript has 3 exons. The record is from RefSeq and is a predicted model, not a curated record. Lineage: Eukaryota; Metazoa; Chordata; Mammalia; Primates; Cebidae.
GAAAGUCUGGAAUUCACAUUAACAUAAACCAUAAACGCAGAAUCAGUGAUUAAGGACACUUCGGAGAUGUUCUUUUGGGGAUAAAAUCUGGCAAGACUGCUGGCCCGGGAAAUAUUUACGCCAUCAUCUAAAGUUCUGACACACAAGUGACCAUUACCUUUUGAUGCAUAAAACAAGUAAUAUGUAUUUUUUCUGAGUACAAAAUCAUUGUGUUCACUUUGGAAAAUAUAGAAAAAAUACAAUAUACUUUAACAGCAUCACCCAGAGGUCUUUUCUUUAUCCGUCUGAUGCCCUUUUAUACAGAAUUAUAAGAGCAAUGUAUAUUGCGUGUAACAAAUUUUUCACCCAAACGUUUCUUCAUGAUGCUACCCUUCUACAUGAUUUUAAAUAGCUGGGUAAAUAUUUCCUGGGAUGUGUGUUUCAAAAUUUAAUCAGGGUUUCUAGUGAUUCUUGACUGUCACAAAUACUGUGGCAAAAAACGCACAGGCAAAUCGUCAUCUCACAUCUGAUUGUUUCUCUAGGUUAAUUUCCUACAAAUAGUUACAGGCCAAGGCAUGGCUAUUUUAAAGUUUCUGAAGUAUGUCCAUGAUUUUUAUGUGUGCAGUGAUGUCAUAGCAUGCAUCACAUGGGGCAGACACGGGAUGCUGUGGGAUUCUGCCCCUGAGUCCUUGGUGGGGGGGUCCCUGUCACGGGGAGCAUUGUGAUGGGCUCACGCCAUCCUGGGGGCAGCCCGGGUAUUGCUAACAUGGGCUUGUUUAGUUAAAAAAUAAAAGGAAAACUCACUUUAGCUAGAGACCAAUUGCCCGGAUGGUGGGGAGAGCUGCUCCGGAGGCAAGAACCACAGCUCAAAGCUUGACAUCAACGUGGGCAACUGUAGAGCCCGGGGCCCCAGGGCCGCCUCAACAGAAUUUCAAGAGUCACCACCAUGGGCAGAGGCCAUCCGAGGUGGGCUCUGCGCUGACCCAGGCUGAUUGCCCCAGCUGGGACCCUCCCCACCAACCCUGUGCUGAGAUGCACCGCAAGUGGACACCGUCUUCACCCAGGCAGCCUGGUGAACCCAGCCUCCCUCAGUUACAUUGAAUGCAUCAGACCCCCAGGCACAACCCCUCCGGUGGGGGCUGCAGGCCAAGCCUCUGUGAACCACCUGCAUCCUAGGAGUGGAGUCACCAGGGCCUGGAGCAGCGGGUGGUUGGUGUGGCUGUGCACACCAGUGGAGGAGCCACCCUGCCUCUGCCCACUUCUGGGGGGCCAGCACCCUUGGCUGUGGCGCCACCCAGCCACACACCUGUCUGCCCAUGUCUCUCCCCAUCUUCUAUGGACACCAGCGGUUGGAUCCAGGGCGACUCCAUUUGAGCUCAUGCAUCUGCAGCAGCCCAUCUCCACCUGAGGCCACACCCACGAGUGCUGGGGUCAGGACUCAACACAUCUUUUCAGGGAACACAAUUUUACCCACAACAGCAGGAAAGGGACCACAACAGGCUACAGAGCAGGCACACACGGGACUGGCUGGAGGCACCGGUGCAGGGAGUCCCGAGCUGAAGGAGAGGGCCUGCCUGUUGCCACAGUCUGGGCAAGAAGAGUCUGUACAUGCUGUCGCGUGUGAAGGCUGCACUGGCCAGGGACCAGGCCUGGGCACCAGGGAUGUGGCCACCAACUGGGUCAGCUAGAAGUGAAGCCCACCCCCAUGGCCAGCGCCUCACAGCAUAGCAGGCCUGGCCCGCACCACACGGGGGACCCCAACCCAUCUGCACAUGCAGGCCUCCGGGGAGACAGCACUGCCCCACUAGAUGGAACAAAGCACGCGGUGUUCUCGAGAAGGAACAGCUUCCCAGAAAGAGGAAACCCCUAACGCCGAGGCCGUGCCAGAGAGUGAGGAGAACACGCUUGCUCCGAAACAAAGGACCCACUGAUGUCACACCAUGUCCGAGAAAUUCUCGAUGAGAGCCCCAGAUGGCAGGAUGCGUAAUAUAAAUAUAACUGACACGCCAACUGCCUGGGCCGGAGUGGAGAGCCCCAGAGGAUGCGGGGUGAGGGAGAACUUACGAGCGCGAUUCCAGCACAAUUCAUUACAUUCUUUCUAAAGAGAAGCUACAGGGAAAAGGCCUACGGUAUGUCUUGAACAUGCAGAACUGGUAAAAACAGGACUUAAAAAUUAAACGCGAACUUUUCAAAUAAAAACCUCUAGGUUAACAUUUAUGCACAAUA